Molecule: ribosomal RNA, 403 nt
Filed under: Cryptosporidium parvum
Lineage: Eukaryota; Apicomplexa; Conoidasida; Eucoccidiorida; Cryptosporidiidae
Description: SSU rRNA
Rfam family: Eukaryotic small subunit ribosomal RNA
Source: RNAcentral
GGAUUUUUUUUAAUAAUUUAUAUAAAAUAUUUUGAUGAAUAUUUAUAUAAUAUUAACAUAAUUCAUAUUACUAUAUAUUUUAAUAUAUGAAAUUUUACUUUGAGAAAAUUAGAGUGCUUAAAGCAGGCAUAUGCCUUGAAUACUCCAGCAUGGAAUAAUAUUAAAGAUUUUUAUCUUUCUUAUUGGUUCUAAGAUAAGAAUAAUGAUUAAUAGGGACAGUUGGGGGCAUUUGUAUUUAACAGUCAGAGGUGAAAUUCUUAGAUUUGUUAAAGACAAACUAAUGCGAAAGCAUUUGCCAAGGAUGUUUUCAUUAAUCAAGAACGAAAGUUAGGGGAUCGAAGACGAUCAGAUACCGUCGUAGUCUUAACCAUAAACUAUGCCAACUAAAGAUUGGAGGUUGUUC